This 485-nucleotide ribosomal RNA is filed under the name uncultured bacterium. RNAcentral's name for it is "partial 16S ribosomal RNA". It matches the Rfam family "Bacterial small subunit ribosomal RNA", at positions 28 to 507 of the family's 1533-position model. The record is from RNAcentral.
GAUGAACGCUGGCGGCGUGCUUAACACAUGCAAGUCGAACGGGAUCCAAGGGGUGCUUGCACUUUUUGGUGAGAGUGGCGAACGGGUGAGUAACACGUGAGUAACCUGUCCUUUUCUUUGGGAUAAGCAUUCGAAAGGGUGUUUAAUACCUUAUGUUCUGUCUGCCUCGCAUGGGGUGGGUGGGAAAGGCUUUGGCCGGAUUUGGGUGGGCUCGCAGUCUAUCAGCUUGUUGGUGGGGUGAUGGCUUACCAAGGCUUUGACGGGUAGCCGGCCUGAGAGGGUGGUCGGUCACAUUGGGACUGAGAUACGGCCCAGACUCCUGCGGGAGGCAGCAGUGGGGGAUAUUGCACAAUGGGCGAAAGCCUGAUGCAGCGACGCCGCGUGGGGGAUGAAGGCCUUCGGGUUGUAAACUUCUUUUGCUCUGAACAAGGCAUGCCAGUGGGUGUGUUGAGUGUAGGGGUUGAUUAGCGCCGGCUAACUACGUG